This 404-nucleotide small RNA is filed under the name Arabidopsis thaliana (thale cress). RNAcentral's name for it is "ATSL168540". Lineage: Eukaryota; Viridiplantae; Streptophyta; Magnoliopsida; Brassicales; Brassicaceae. The record is from RNAcentral.
AAUUAAAUCAAAUAAUAAUUUAGAUUGAAGGGAAUUAAUUUAUUAAAUGGUUUAGAUUGAAUCGGAUCAUAUAAAGUUUAGGAGAUUGUUAAGACCAAAUUACCCUUAAUGAUUUUGAAUAGCAAAGAACAAAAUCCAAAAUUGAAAUUAAAAUUGAGGCCAAAUUAGACAAAAUUUCAAUUUGUACUUCCCUUUUAAUAAUAAGGGGAUGAGCGACCGAUUUAAGUGCUCACUAUUUAGUCGCAAUGUCGUCGCUAAGUAUAGUGAUUGUUAUGCGAUAUCUUUGCCACAACAUGACAAUUGUUUUGUGAACGUUUUGGUGAAUGAGUUGCUACUACUUUGUGACUGAUUAGAGGUUUAAUUCUUGAUUUAGCCUCUAAUUUAUCAUCAACAGACUUGUUUUU